UAUUCUAUGGUGUUCUGUCACCCGACAGUC
Molecule: non-coding RNA, 30 nt
Filed under: Mus musculus (house mouse)
Lineage: Eukaryota; Metazoa; Chordata; Mammalia; Rodentia; Muridae
Source: RNAcentral